GACCAUCCCGUAAGGCUAAAUACUCUCUAGUGACCGAUAGUGAACAAGUACCGUGAGGGAAAGGUGAAAAGAACCCCGGGAGGGGAGUGAAAUAGAAAACUGAAACCAUGUGCUUACAAAAAGUCAGAGCCCGUUAAUGGGUAAUGGCGUGCCUUUUGCAGAAUGAACCGGCGAGUUAAUGUUGCAUGCAAGGUUAAGUAGAAGAUACGGAGCCGAAGCGAAAGCGAGUCUGAAUAGGGCGUGCAGUAUGUAGUAUUAGACCCGAAACCGAGUGAUCUAGCCAUGAGCAGGUUGAAGUUUGGGUAAAACCAAAUGGAGGACCGAACCGAUAUACCCGGAAACGUGUACGGAUGACUUGUGGUUAGCGGAGAAAUUCCAAUCGAACUCGGAGAUAGCUGGUUCUCCCCGAAAUAGGUUUAGGCCUAGCCUUGAGUGAAUCGUUAUGGAGGUAGAGCACUGAAUGUGUGCGGGCUUCUUUUAGAGGUACCAAAUGCAAUCAAACUCCGAAUGCCAUAAUAGAAUACUCAGGAGUCAGUGUAUGGGUGAUAACGUCCAUACGCGAGAGGAAAAUAAUCCAGAUCGCCAGUUAAGGUCCCUAAAUUCAUGCUAAGUGGGAAAGGAUGUAGAGUUGUCAAAACAGCUAGGAGGUUAGCUUAGAAGCAGCGAUCCUUUAAAGAGUGCGUAAUAGCUCACUAGUCGAGUGACACUGCGCCGAAGAUGUACCGGGGCUAAGCAUGAUACCGAAACUGCGGAUUAUAAUAAAAUUAUAGUGGUAGGGGAGCGUUCCAAGUGCGCUGAAGAUAGACCGUGAGGACUGUUGGAGCGCUUGGAAGUGAGAAUGCCGGUGUGAGUAGCGCAAGAUGGGUGGAAAUCCCAUCCACCGUUUGCCUAAGGUUUCCUGGGCCAGGUUCGUCCUCCCAGGGUUAGUCGGGUCCUAAGAUAAGGCUGAAAAGCGUAGUCGAUGGACAACAGGUUGAUAUUCCUGUACCACCUAUAUAACUGAAGGAAUGACGAAGAAAGCUAGGAAGAUCCAGUUAUUGGAUUCUGGUCUAAGCACAAAGACAGAUGAAAUAGGCAAAUCCGUUCAUUAAUAAUGUUGAAGUGUGAUGGCGAAGUGGUUUACCACGAAGUCUUCUGACGCUAUGCUUCCGAGAAAAGUUUCUAGGGUUAAUUAUAUAGGUGCCCGUACCGAGAACCGACACAGGUGGGCAAGGAGAGUAUCCUAAGGUGAGCGAGAGAACUAUGGUUAAGGAACUCUGCAAAAUGACUCCGUAACUUCGGGAGAAGGAGUGACACAGAAAUGUGUUCGCAGCAAAGAGGCCCAGGCAACUGUUUACCAAAAACACAGCUCUCUGCUAAAUCGUAAGAUGAUGUAUAGGGGGUGACGCCUGCCCAGUGCUGGAAGGUUAAUAAAACGGUUUAGAAAUGACGCAAGUCGAUAAUUUCGAAGAUCGGGAUUGAAGCCCCAGUGAACGGCGGCCGUAACUAUAACGGUCCUAAGGUAGCGAAAUUCCUUGUCAGGUAAGUUCUGACCCGCACGAAAGGCGUAAUGAUCUGGGCGCUGUCUCAACCAUAGACUCGGUGAAAUCUUAAUACCUGUGAAAAUGCAGGUUACCCGCAACUAGACGGAAAGACCCCAUGGAGCUUUACUGUAGCUUGAUAUUGGAAUUCGAUUUAUGAUGUAGAGGAUAGGUGGGAGACGUUGAUUCUAUGACGCCAGUCAUAGAGGAGUCAACCUUGGAAUACCACCCUUUGUAAAUUGAAUUUCUAACCUAGAGCCAUUACCUGGUUCAGGGACAGUGUCUGGUGGGCAGUUUGACUGGGGCGGUCGCCUCCUAAAAUGUAACGGAGGUGUUCAAAGGUUCCCUCAGAAUGGUUGGAAAUCAUUCAAAGAGCGUAAAGGUAUAAGGGAGCUUAACUGCGAGACCCACAAGUCAAGCAGAUACGAAAGUAGGACUUAAUGAUCAGGCGAUUCUGUAUGGAAUGGUCGUCGCUUAACGGAUAAAAGUUACCCUGGGGAUAACAGGCUGAUACCACCCAAUAGUUCACAUAGACGGUGGUGUUUGGCACCUCGAUGUCGGCUCGUCACAUCCUGGAGGUGAAGUCGCUUCCAAGGGUUGGGCUGUUCGCCCAUUAAAGUGGCACGCGAGCUGGGUUCAGAACGUCGUGAGACAGUUCGGUUCCUAUCUGUUGUGGGCGUAGGAAAAUUGAGAAGAGCUGUCCUUAGUACGAGAGGACCGGGAUGGACAUACCUCUGGUGUAUCUGUUGUAGCGCCAGCUGCAGCGCAGAGUAGCUAUGUAUGGAAUGGAUAACCGCUGAAAGCAUCUAAGCGGGAAGCCAACUUCAAGAUGAGUUUUCCCAUUGU
This 2366-nucleotide ribosomal RNA is filed under the name human oral metagenome. RNAcentral describes it as "bacterial LSU rRNA". It matches the Rfam family "Bacterial large subunit ribosomal RNA", at positions 451 to 2820 of the family's 2925-position model. The record is from RNAcentral.